AUUUAUCCGUUUUUCUUUACUCAUGUUGAUUUGAUGUGUAACGUUAUUGUUGAACGCUUACACAUAGCUGUGAAACGAAGAAAACAUAAUACGUUUAAAAUAUAGUUUGUUUUUUAUCAGCGUUAAGUACGUUCAAUACGAUUUGUUUUGCCAAACGAUAUAGGGAGAUAGCUGUUGUUUGAUUUAUUUAUACUUUUUUUGAACGGAAAGGAAUUGAAUUCAAAGGGUCUUCGGUGCUAACGAUACUGUUCAAAACGUUCACAGCUAUAAAACAACGAGUACUCGUUAUGAGUGUUACAACAUCAGUCGUUACACUUGGACGAAAGGAAAUCAAAACUUUUGCGAUGUAAUGUAAAUAAAAAAACCCGAUUGAUUUGAUGUGAAAUGCUGUAAUGAUAUUAUAAAAUGCACACACAGCUAUAAAAUAAUGAAGUAAACAUGGGGAGAGCUAUGGGAUGUUUUCAUUGAGAAGGAAUGUGAUUGACUUUACUGAUAUUUCUAUUAUCACAAACAGUUGUAAAAUUUAAAAAUCGAAUUAUAUGCAACACUUUUUAUAAUUCUUUUGUUCACAUUUGUUAAUUAAGUCUAUCGUUUGACUAUGUUUUAAUUGUAUCUUUUAAUUAUGUUAAAUAAUUAUAAAUUUGUUUUUUAAAUAUGUUAAAUUCAUUAAAUUUGAUUUAUUUUUUAAAAUAAUAUAGGGAGAUAGUGUUAGUGCGAUAGAUGUGUGUCAAUGGUUCUAUUGAUACUAUUCAAAUCAAACCCAGCUAUAAAAUAAAGAAAUCGUGGUACGGAUUACAAUUUUUAACACUCUUAUUCCAUUAUGAUACAAGUGUUUUUUUUAAAUAUCUUGAACUGUAUUGUUUACUUGGCUCAUAGUGUUUCGCAGAGUAAUUAAUUAACAAGUGCUCGAACAUGAGUGUAGUACUGUUGCCCUUCGUUCGACUAUGACUCAUUUGUGUCUUUAAAUUAUGUUAAAUACAUUCAAUUUGAUUAAUUUUUCCAAAUAAUAUAGGGAGAGAGCUGUUGAAUGUUUUCGUUGCACUUUAUUCUUUGGAAUGGAAUAGAAUUCAACGUGUUAUUGGUGCUAAUGAUAAUAUUCAAAUCAAACCCAGCUAUAAAAUAAAGAAAACUUGGUAUGUAUUUAUACAAUAUUUAACGCUCAAGUUCCUCUAUGAUAUAAAUGUCUUUGUAAAAUAUCUUAAACUAUAUAUUGUUUAUUUUGCUCAUAGUGGGUUGCAGAUUAAUGAAUUAACGAAUGCUCAAACACCAGUGUAGUACUGUUGUACCCAAGAGCUUGGUUAUUAUUACACUUUUCUCCUAAUAUUAUAAGAAAAAUCUUGGUAUAGUUUAUUUAUUUAAACCGUAUCAUACUGAUAUGACUUUAUAUAAUGAU
RNAcentral lists this long non-coding RNA (1393 nucleotides) under Sipha flava (yellow sugarcane aphid). RNAcentral's name for it is "uncharacterized LOC112687226, transcript variant X2". Lineage: Eukaryota; Metazoa; Arthropoda; Insecta; Hemiptera; Aphididae. The record is from RNAcentral.